GAUGAACGCUGGCGGCGUGCCUAACACAUGCAAGUCGAGCGAUUCUCUUCGGAGAAGAGCGGCGGACGGGUGAGUAACGCGUGGGUAACCUGCCCUGUACACACGGAUAACAUACCGAAAGGUAUGCUAAUACGAGAUAAUAUGCUUUUAUCGCAUGGUAGAAGUAUCAAAGCUCCGGCGGUACAGGAUGGACCCGCGUCUGAUUAGCUAGUUGGUAAGGUAACGGCUUACCAAGGCGACGAUCAGUAGCCGACCUGAGAGGGUGAUCGGCCACAUUGGAACUGAGACACGGUCCAAACUCCUACGGGAGGCAGCAGUGGGGAAUAUUGCACAAUGGGCGAAAGCCUGAUGCAGCAACGCCGCGUGAGCGAUGAAGGCCUUCGGGUCGUAAAGCUCUGUCCUCAAGGAAGAUAAUGACGGUACUUGAGGAGGAAGCCCCGGCUAACUAC
RNAcentral lists this ribosomal RNA (449 nucleotides) under uncultured bacterium. Its description in RNAcentral is "bacterial SSU rRNA". It matches the Rfam family "Bacterial small subunit ribosomal RNA", at positions 28 to 504 of the family's 1533-position model. The record is from RNAcentral.